Molecule: ribosomal RNA, 419 nt
Filed under: uncultured bacterium
Lineage: Bacteria
Description: bacterial SSU rRNA
Rfam family: Bacterial small subunit ribosomal RNA
Source: RNAcentral
AUUGAACGCUGGCGGCAGGCCUAACACAUGCAAGUCGAGCGCGAAAGGUUUUCGGACUGAGUAAAGCGGCGGACGGGUGAGUAAUGCAUGGGAAUCUGCCUGGUAGUGGGGGACAACGUUUCGAAAGGAGCGCUAAUACCGCAUACGCCCUACGGGGGAAAGGGGGGGAGUCUUCGGACCUCUCGCUAUCAGAUGAGCCUAUGUCAGAUUAGCUUGUUGGUGAGGUAAAGGCUCACCAAGGCGACGAUCUGUAACUGGUCUGAGAGGAUGAUCAGUCACACUGGAACUGAGACACGGUCCAGACUCCUACGGGAGGCAGCAGUGGGGGAAUAUUGGACAAUGGGGGGCAACCCUGAUCCAGCCAUGCCGCGUGUGUGAAGAAGGCCUUGGGUUGUAAGACCUUUGUCCGGAAGAAAGAC